AUUCUGUUGAAAUUGUAAAGAAAAUUCUUGUUACGGAGAGAAAAAAGAAACUUGAUCGAUAUUUCUUAACAUCAGUAUUUGCAACACUUCCUUGAAUGUUGAAGUUCAAUGACCUCGAUGGUAUGCAGACAAAUAAACAAUGAAGUGGCAGGAGUUUAUUGAAUGCACCUGAGGAUAUUUUGAAGCUUGCAAAGAAGAAUAAUUGGAGCUAUACUUCGAUAAUAUAUUGUAAUCAGAUAAUUAAGGUAUAUAGAAGUAAUCUA
Molecule: long non-coding RNA, 263 nt
Organism: Argiope bruennichi
Lineage: Eukaryota; Metazoa; Arthropoda; Arachnida; Araneae; Araneidae
Exons: 4
Source: RefSeq, a predicted model, not a curated record